GAACUUCAUUUGGGGGUUGACUACGUUUCAUCGCUGUGGCUGUGACACUUUGGUUGGAUAAUAAUGUCUUGUUCAGCGUUGGGUUGCACGGCAAGACACUCAAAGGAAUCGGCAGUUCAGUUUUUCCGACUUCCUUUUGAUGAGGCCAGGCUGAAGCAAUGGUUGGUGAACAUGAGGAGAGAGAGACCAGCAAAUGGAACCACGAAAAGUCACGUCUGCAGUUCACACUUUGAGGAAGAUCAGUUUUUUAGAGACAAGCAGGUAUCCACACUGAAAACUGAAUGAGCAGAGCCUCCAGAAGGAAGACCUGUUGUAUAGAGCCUCCAGAAGGAAGACCUGUUGUGUAGAGCGGCGUAUUUAGUGC
Molecule: long non-coding RNA, 364 nt
Organism: Etheostoma spectabile (orangethroat darter)
Lineage: Eukaryota; Metazoa; Chordata; Actinopteri; Perciformes; Percidae
Exons: 3
Source: RefSeq, a predicted model, not a curated record